UACAUGGAGUCCAAAACGUUAUCCGGAUUUACUGGGCGUAAAGCGUCCGUAGGUGUUCCUGUAAGUCUUCGGUGAAAUCUCCGGGCUUAACUCGGAAAUUGUCGAGGAAACUGCAGGAAUUGAGUACGGCAGAGGCAGAUGGAAUUCUUGGUGUAGAGGUAAAAUUCGUUGAUAUCAAGAAGAAACACCAGUGGCGAAGGCGAUCUGCUGGGCCGUUACUGACACUGAGGGACGAAAGCGUGGGGAGCGAACGGG
RNAcentral lists this ribosomal RNA (255 nucleotides) under uncultured bacterium. Its description in RNAcentral is "partial 16S ribosomal RNA". It matches the Rfam family "Bacterial small subunit ribosomal RNA", at positions 524 to 776 of the family's 1533-position model. The record is from RNAcentral.